This 804-nucleotide ribosomal RNA is filed under the name Halolamina sp. RNAcentral's name for it is "bacterial SSU rRNA". It matches the Rfam family "Archaeal small subunit ribosomal RNA", at positions 50 to 855 of the family's 1478-position model. Lineage: Archaea; Methanobacteriati; Methanobacteriota; Halobacteria; Halobacteriales; Haloferacaceae. The record is from RNAcentral.
CAUGCUAGUUGUGCGAGUUCAUACUCGCAGCGUAUAGCUCAGUAACACGUGGCCAAACUACCCUACAGACAGGAACAACCUCGGGAAACUGAGGCUAACACCUGAUACGCGUUGACUGUUUGAAUACAUCGACGUUCAAACGCUCCGGCGCUGUAGGAUGUGGCUGCGGCCGAUUAGGUAGACGGUGGGGUAACGGCCCACCGUGCCGAUAAUCGGUACGGGUUGUGAGAGCAAGAGCCCGGAGACGGAAUCUGAGACAAGAUUCCGGGCCCUACGGGGCGCAGCAGGCGCGAAACCUUUACACUGCACGCCAGUGCGAUAAGGGAACCCCGAGUGAAAGGGCAUAUCGCCCUUUCUUUUCUGAACCGUAGGGAGGUUCAGGAACAAGAGCUGGGCAAGACCGGUGCCAGCCGCCGCGGUAAUACCGGCAGCUCAAGUGAUGACCGAUUUUAUUGGGCCUAAAGCGUCCGUAGCUGGCCGCGCAAGUCUGUCGGGAAAUCCACCCGCUUAACGGGUGGGCGUCCGGCGGAAACUGUGCGGCUUGGGACAGGAAGGCUCGAGGGGUACGUUCGGGGUAGGAGUGAAAUCCCGUAAUCCUGAACGGACCACCGAUGGCGAAAGCACCUCGAGAGGACUGAUCCGACAGUGAGGGACGAAAGCUGGGGUCUCGAACCGGAUUAGAUACCCGGGUAGUCCCAGCCGUAAACGAUGUUCGCUAGGUGUGACACUCACUACGAGUGAGUGUUGUGCCGCAGGGAAGCCGCUAAGCGAACCGCCUGGGAAGUACGUCCGCAAGGAUGAAAC